GUCUGUGGACGGUGGCCCCAAAGAGCUGCACCAAGGCUUGAGGAUAUGUAGCAGAGUACAGGUUACAAGCUCUUGGUGAGGAGUGUCAAGGAUAUGUAGCUGGCUAGCGAACUGCACGCCCUAGUGGCCUGCGUUGUUGCUGAGCAUCAUGCUUCUUCCUACGCAUCUUUCAACAAUCACGUAGAGCAUUCAUAUCACCACGAUGAUCACCAUGAUCAUCCUGAACCACAUCACCACCCAAAAUACGAAUACAAAUAUGGCGUCGAGGACCACCACACCCAUGAUAUGAAAUCAGCCGAAGAGGAACGCGACGGGGAUGUCGUCAAGGGAUGGUACAAAUUGGACCAUUGGUGUGGUUGUGUGACAUGAGACCUAAUCAUUGGUGUGAUUAGUUGUGAACUGCCAACCAUUGUAGUGGUUGAGUAGGUUGCCAACCAUUGGUGUGGUUGUGUGACAUGAGACCUAAUCAUUGGUGUGAUUAGUUGUGAACUGCCAACCAUUGUAGUGGUUGAGUAGGUUGCCAACCAUUGGUGUGGUUGUGUGACAUGAGACCUAAUCAUUGGUGUGAUUAGUUGUGAACUGCCAACCAUUGUAGUGGUUGAGUAGGUUGCCAACCAUUGGUGUGGCUGUGUAACGUGUGACCUAAUCAUUGGUGUGAUUAGUUGUGAACUGCCAACCAUUGUAGUGGUUGAGUAGGUUGCCAACCAUUGGUGUGGUUGUGUGACAUGAGACCUAAUCAUUGCCAACCAUUGGUGUGGUUGUGUGACAUGAGACCUAAUCAUUGCCAACCAUUGGUGUGGUUGUGUGACAUGAGACCUAAUCAUUGGUGUGAUUAGUUGUGAACUGCCAACCAUUGUAGUGGUUGAGUAGGUUGCCAACCAUUGGUGUGGCUGUGUAACGUGUGACCUAAUCAUUGGUGUGAUUAGUUGUGAACUGCCAACCAUUGUAGUGGUUGAGUAGGUUGCCAACCAUUGGUGUGGUUGUGUGACAUGAGACCUAAUCAUUGGUGUGAUUAGUUGUGAACUGCCAACCAUUGUAGUGGUUGAGUAGGUUGCCAACCAUUGGUGUGGUUGUGUGACAUGAGACCUAAUCAUUGGUGUGAUUAGUUGUG
Molecule: long non-coding RNA, 1111 nt
Organism: Dalotia coriaria
Lineage: Eukaryota; Metazoa; Arthropoda; Insecta; Coleoptera; Staphylinidae
Exons: 3
Source: RefSeq, a predicted model, not a curated record